UAAUUUAUGAAUCCACAGCUUCUGAUGAUUACAAGAUGGGCGGAGUCACCUCGUCAAUAGCAGCAAAGUUCGCUUUCUUCCCGCCAAAUCCUCCCUCAUACACUGUGGUAGCAGACGAGUCCAGCCCCGGUAAACUUGUCAUUCCGGAGGUCCCGAGGAGCGAUGAAGUGGAUGUUCUGAAGCUCCGGACUCGACGAGGAAACGAAAUCGUGGCCAUUCAUAUAAAACAUCCCAGAGCAUCAUUAACUCUGCUAUAUUCCCAUGGAAAUGCAGCUGAUUUGGGGCAGAUGUUUGAGCUCUUCGUCGAAUUGAGUAAACGCCUUCGCAUUAAUCUCAUGGGGUAUGAUUACUCGGGCUACGGACAAUCAAGUGGAAAGCCAACUGAAUGUAAUACAUACGCAGAUAUAGACGCUGCAUAUAAUUGCCUUAGAGAACAGUAUGGGGUUAAAGAUGAACAAUUAAUACUUUAUGGUCAGUCUGUUGGUAGUGGACCUACAGUUGAUCUUGCUUCACAGUUACCAAACUUGAGAGGUGUGGUUCUACAUAGCCCAAUUUUGUCAGG
This 562-nucleotide unclassified non-coding RNA is filed under the name Hevea brasiliensis (rubber tree). The record is from RNAcentral. Lineage: Eukaryota; Viridiplantae; Streptophyta; Magnoliopsida; Malpighiales; Euphorbiaceae.